This 463-nucleotide ribosomal RNA is filed under the name uncultured bacterium. RNAcentral's name for it is "bacterial SSU rRNA". It matches the Rfam family "Bacterial small subunit ribosomal RNA", at positions 28 to 507 of the family's 1533-position model. The record is from RNAcentral.
GAUGAACGCUGGCGGCGUGCCUAACACAUGCAAGUCGAACGGGAACCCUUGGGAUUCGUCUCGGGGGGGAGAGUGGCGAACGGGUGAGUAACACGUAGGUGACCUGCCCCAGAGAGGGGAAUAACCACUGGAAACGGUGGCUAAUACCCCAUGAGCUCGGUGAUUCGAUUCACCGAGUAAAGCUCCGGCGCUUUGGGAGGGGCCUGCGGCCCAUCAGGUAGUUGGUAGGGUAAAGGCCUACCAAGCCUAUGACCGGUAGGGGGCGUGAGAGCGUGAUCCCCCACACUGGCACUGAGACACGGGCCAGACUCCUACGGGAGGCAGCAGUGAGGAAUAUUGCCCAAUGGACGCAAGUCUGAGGCAGCAACGCCGCGUGAGCGAUGAAGGCCUUCGGGUUGUAAAGCUCUUUUCUGGGGGAAGAGGAAGGACGGUACCUCAGGAAUAAGUCACGGCUAACUACGUG